Molecule: non-coding RNA, 24 nt
Filed under: Cricetulus griseus (Chinese hamster)
Lineage: Eukaryota; Metazoa; Chordata; Mammalia; Rodentia; Cricetidae
Source: RNAcentral
CAUCGACCUGGUAUUGCAGUACUU